CUUUAUACCCCCUCUACCAUAGAGGGACUCUUCUAGUGGGUGAGAAUACGGUAUACGUUUCUUUCAAAAAAAAAAAAACGGAACCUCGUCUUUCGCCCCCUCGGCAGCUGUUGCCUCCGCGCUUUAUUCCAAGUUUACGG
This is a long non-coding RNA of Camelus ferus (Wild Bactrian camel), 140 nucleotides long. NCBI's taxonomy places the organism in Eukaryota, Metazoa, Chordata, Mammalia, Artiodactyla, Camelidae. The record is from Rfam.